Sander lucioperca (pikeperch) is the source of this 179-nucleotide long non-coding RNA. RefSeq lists it as uncharacterized. The record is from RefSeq and is a predicted model, not a curated record. NCBI's taxonomy places the organism in Eukaryota, Metazoa, Chordata, Actinopteri, Perciformes, Percidae. The transcript is spliced from 3 exons.
UGUCAUUUUUGGUCCUCGCUUCUCUUAGAGCUGUAUUUAUCUCGUUUAAGGGUGGUGGGACAAUCUGUCAACCUGAAAUAAUUUUUUCGUAUAACUGUACAGUUUUUUUUUAACAUACAUACAUAUAUACAUAUAUAUAUAUAUACAUACAUACAUAUAUACAUAUAUAUAUAUACAUA